GUGAGGGGCAUGUGAGGGCUGUCGCUGACUCAAAGUCGUGCACGCCCGAGUGUGUCCUCUCACAUAAUAAUCCAUMUCACCCUUUGUGCAUCGCCGCGUGAGCACCCUUUGGGAUCAUCUCGGAGGGGGCUCGCGUUUUCACACAAACCCCCCUUUUAAAAGUGUAGAAUGACCUCAUUUAUGCGCUAACACGCAAUCAAUACAACUUUCAACAACGGAUCUCUUGGCUCUCGCAUCGAUGAAGAACGCAGCGAAAUGCGAUACGUAAUGUGAAUUGCAGAAUUCAGUGAAUCAUCGAAUCUUUGAACGCACCUUGCGCCCCUUGGUAUUCCGAGGGGCACACCCGUUUGAGUGUCGUGAAAACCUCAACCUCCUUGGUUUCUUCUGGAGACCAAAGGCAGGCUUGGACUUUGGAGGCCCUUGCUGGAACCUCUCUCUUUUGAAGGCCAGCUCCUCUUAAACGAAUUAGCAGGGUCCUCUUUGCCGAUCCUCGACGUGUGAUAAGAUGUUUCCAUGUCUUGGUUUCUGGCUCUGUCACUUUUGGGACCCGCUUCUAACCGUCUUGACCUUGCAUCGAGACAAUGUUCGAGCAUGUCUCCCUUCUCGGGAAGCUCCCUCGACCCCACGAACCCUUGACCUCAAAUCGGGUGAGACUACCCGCUGAACUUAAGCAUAUCAAUAAGCGGAGGAAAAGAAACUAACAAGGAUUCCCCUAGUAACUGCGAGUGAAGCGGGAAAAGCUCAAAUUUAAAAUCUGGCGGUCUUUGGCCGUCCGAGUUGUAAUUUAGAGAAGCGUCUUCCGCGCUGGACCGUGU
RNAcentral lists this ribosomal RNA (815 nucleotides) under Lactarius cyathuliformis. RNAcentral's name for it is "eukaryotic LSU rRNA". The stretch from base 204 to 357 matches the Rfam family "5.8S ribosomal RNA". The record is from RNAcentral. Lineage: Eukaryota; Fungi; Basidiomycota; Agaricomycetes; Russulales; Russulaceae.